This 423-nucleotide ribosomal RNA is filed under the name uncultured bacterium. Its description in RNAcentral is "bacterial SSU rRNA". It matches the Rfam family "Bacterial small subunit ribosomal RNA", at positions 207 to 622 of the family's 1533-position model. The record is from RNAcentral.
AAGACCUUGCGCUUUUGGAGCGGCCGAUGUCUGAUUAGCCUGUUGGUGAGGUAAAGGCUUACCAAGGCUUCGAUCAGUAGCUGGUCUGAGAGGACGGCCAGCCACACUGGGACUGAGACACGGCCCAGACUCCUACGGGAGGCAGCAGUGGGGAAUUUUGGACAAUGGGGGCAACCCUGAUCCAGCCAUGCCGCGUGAGUGAAGAAGGCCUUCGGGUUGUAAAGCUCUUUCAGCCGGAACGAAACGGUUACGGUUAAUACCCGUGACUACUGACGGUACCGGAAGAAGAAGCACCGGCUAACUACGUGCCAGCAGCCGCGGUAAUACGUAGGGUGCAAGCGUUAAUCGGAAUUACUGGGCGUAAAGCGUGCGCAGGUGGUUUUGUAAGUCAGAUGUGAAAUCCCCGGGCUUAACCUGGGAACU